Molecule: ribosomal RNA, 253 nt
Filed under: uncultured bacterium
Lineage: Bacteria
Description: partial 16S ribosomal RNA
Rfam family: Bacterial small subunit ribosomal RNA
Source: RNAcentral
UACGAAGGGUGCAAACGUUGCUCGGAAUCAUUGGGCGUAAAGCGCACGUAGGCGGCUUCAAAAGUCGGAUGUGAAAUCCCGUGGCUCAACCAUGGACGUGCAUUCGAAACUGCGAAGCUUGAGUAUGGAAGAGGGUCGCGGGAUUCCCGGUGUAGAGGUGAAAUUCGUAGAUAUCCGGAGGAACACCGGUGGCGAAGGCGGCUUCCUGGACCGACACUGACGCUGAGGCGCGAAAGCUAGGGGAGCAAACGGG